Molecule: long non-coding RNA, 742 nt
Filed under: Heterocephalus glaber (naked mole-rat)
Lineage: Eukaryota; Metazoa; Chordata; Mammalia; Rodentia; Bathyergidae
Description: lncRNA (ENSHGLG00000049792.1)
Source: RNAcentral
ACUCAGACUAUUCCAGAACAUUGAAAAGGGCAUGAUGUUCUAUCAUCCAACCUCUUCAUUUUGCUCAGAAAUUGAUGCCCAGAGAGGUGUAAUAAUUUACCAGAAGUUGACCAGCUAUGCUGAAGCUGAGCUGCAAGUCAACUUCAGAAUUUCUCAUUUCAGCCCAAGCCCAAGCCCAUUCUCUUGAUUCUACUUGUUUGGUUAACUGCAUGUGCAGCUCACCUAUAAAGUCUCAGGCAUCACACGAGCAUCUUCUUUCAUCUCAGACUCAGCUACAUAUUCAAUCACGUUCCAUGAUGAUGACAAGUCCACUGGGCUGUCACCUUCUGCUCUGCAAUUAACUCCAGACAGUGUACCUGAUACAGCAACAUCAGCCAGAUUCACCAUGCACGUGUCAGAAGUAACCCCAAGAAUGGGAAUAAUGGUGUGGUACUUCAGGACAAACUCAAGACGGCUGUACUGGGGGAGAAGAUAGCACCACUUGUAAAGAAUCAGAAUCACAGACACAGCAACAGAAGCAACUUCCCCGCAGGACUGCCUAUCACUCCCUAUCUCCAGAACAUACCACUGAACUGGCUUCGGGACAGCCCACCUGGUUAUCGCACCUUUCCCUCUUUCUGCUUCAGGUGAUGGGGUUACCUUAGCAUAAACUGUAUGCACCUUCCCGGGGAGAAAUCUUGUGGCCCAACAUGUGACCGCUUCAGAGGUCACUUGCUGUUUCUUAAGACUUUCCACAUUCGGA